UUCAUAAUACCUCCACUCUCAUAGCAUCCUAUUUAAAUGCAAUGGAUAAAGGUUUAAAGGUUUUCUAUCUGUUAGAAGCUAUGUGCUCCCAUGUGAGGAGGUUCAUUUUCAUUUGAGAAAUCAUUCGUGCUUAAUGCAAACUGUAUACUGUUCCAUUAUUCACUCAUGAUUGGUGGGAGUGUAAGUAACUCUUAAAUAUGUUCCCUUAAUAAGGUAACCGCUCCUGUAUGCUUUUAUUUGUUUUACCGGAUUUCAUGUUACAUGCUUUUAUUUUGGUACUCUUCACCGGAAGUAACAAUCGCGCAUCUGAAAAGUAGGUCAAUUGAACGCAGCGCUGAAGCAGAGCACGUGUGGUAUGGAAAACGGAGUGUGUUCUGCUGUUAAAGGUUUAUCUACUGUUUAUUAAGCGCCUAGCUGGAAUUGGGAACAAGCUCUUACGGUGUUUUCCAAAGGUGUUUUCUGAAGGUGUUUCAAGGCUUUUCACGGAAUCUGCUGUUCCUGAGAACACCUCUACCUCUACCUCAUCAGAGUUUGAACCCCCACAAAGACAGAACCAACAGCAUAUCGCCAGUUUGUGCUCUGGCA
Long non-coding RNA from Cololabis saira (Pacific saury), 585 nucleotides. RefSeq lists it as uncharacterized. NCBI's taxonomy places the organism in Eukaryota, Metazoa, Chordata, Actinopteri, Beloniformes, Belonidae. The record is from RefSeq and is a predicted model, not a curated record. The transcript has 3 exons.